RNAcentral lists this unclassified non-coding RNA (217 nucleotides) under Hevea brasiliensis (rubber tree). Lineage: Eukaryota; Viridiplantae; Streptophyta; Magnoliopsida; Malpighiales; Euphorbiaceae. The record is from RNAcentral.
AUCAGUUUCACAUUUCCCCCAAGUUUUCUUACUGACAAGCAUCGUCAAGUGAUUCCUUUAGCUCACAAAUAAAACCACAGUCGACCUGGUCAUUCUUUGUAUACAUAUAAUUAACCGAACAGCUACUUACACGUCAGAAACAGCGAAGGUAAGGCCAGUGAGGGGAUGAGGAGCUUUCGGAGGAGCAGGCUGCGGCGGAGGAAGGAGCUGAAGCUUC